Molecule: ribosomal RNA, 381 nt
Filed under: Microbacterium sp.
Lineage: Bacteria; Bacillati; Actinomycetota; Actinomycetes; Micrococcales; Microbacteriaceae
Description: bacterial SSU rRNA
Rfam family: Bacterial small subunit ribosomal RNA
Source: RNAcentral
AGUCGAACGGUGAAGCAGAGCUUGCUCUGUGGAUCAGUGGCGAACGGGUGAGUAACACGUGAGCAACCUGCCCCUGACUCUGGGAUAAGCGCUGGAAACGGCGUCUAAUACUGGAUAUGAGCUGCGAUCGCAUGGUCAGCAGUUGGAAAGAUUUUUCGGUCUGGGAUGGGCUCACGGCCUAUCAGCUUGUUGGUGAGGUAAUGGCUCACCAAGGCGUCGACGGGUAGCCGGCCUGAGAGGGUGACCGGCCACACUGGGACUGAGACACGGCCCAGACUCCUACGGGAGGCAGCAGUGGGGAAUAUUGCACAAUGGGCGAAAGCCUGAUGCAGCAACGCCGCGUGAGGGAUGACGGCCUUCGGGUUGUAAACCUCUUUUAGC